RNAcentral lists this unclassified non-coding RNA (675 nucleotides) under Actinia tenebrosa (Australian red waratah sea anemone). Its description in RNAcentral is "coiled-coil domain-containing protein 86-like, transcript variant X1". Lineage: Eukaryota; Metazoa; Cnidaria; Anthozoa; Actiniaria; Actiniidae. The record is from RNAcentral.
AUCUCAACCCUCAAGUGGUUCUGGGUAUUGAGAGGUUACUCAGAUUCCCAAGAUGGCGGACGAGAAAGAACAGAACAGCGACAAGAAAAACGAACCGAUUAAAAUACCUCGUGGAAGGCCUAAAUCUGGACGAGUAUGGAAGAGUGAAAAAAAUAAGAAGUCUACCAUAAUCAAGGUUAAGCCACUACACUCCGACUGGAAGAAAAAGCAAAAAGAUAAACUGGAGAAGAAGCUACUCAAGGCGUAUGAGAGUGAGCUGAAAGAUACGGCAACUAAACAAAAAGAGGAGAAAAGAAAGAGGCAAGAAGAGAACAAAAAGAGACGGGAAGAAAAUGAAAGAAAAUCUCAAAUUGUUCAAGUUAUAAAAGACACUUCCAAGAUAAAGAAGAUGAAAAAAAAGCAUCUAAGACAAAUAGAGACAAGAUAGUAUAUCGUAUUUGCAAAUACUAUACUUCCCAUACAGUAUUCUUGUCCAUGGCAUUUUCCUGCUUGCAUCAUUACAGCCUCGUACUUCCAUAUUCAAGGGGUACACCACAUACAUUGAUACAACAAUAGCUGAGCAAGAUUUGGAUAAUCAAGAUUCAAGUCUGGAUUGAUUGGCUUUACACCAUGAGAAUCCAGAUUUUGAAGAACGAUGUAUGUCUUUGUGUUGAACAAUAAUGUUUUUCCAUUUAA